UACGUAGGGUGCAAGCGUUAAUCGGAAUUACUGGGCGUAAAGCGUGCGCAGGCGGUGAUGUAAGACAGUUGUCGAAAUCCCCGGGCUCAACCUGGGAACUGCAUCUGUGACUGCAUCGCUGGAGUGCGGCAGAGGGGGAUGGAAUUCCGCGUGUAGCAGUGAAAUGCGUAGAUAUGCGGAGGAACACCGAUGGCGAAGGCAAUCCCUGGGCCUGCACUGACGCUCAUGCACGAAGCGUGGGAGC
This 244-nucleotide ribosomal RNA is filed under the name uncultured bacterium. RNAcentral describes it as "partial 16S ribosomal RNA". It matches the Rfam family "Bacterial small subunit ribosomal RNA", at positions 524 to 769 of the family's 1533-position model. The record is from RNAcentral.